RNAcentral lists this long non-coding RNA (338 nucleotides) under Carica papaya (papaya). RNAcentral describes it as "long non-coding RNA (CPAP_LNC006056)". Lineage: Eukaryota; Viridiplantae; Streptophyta; Magnoliopsida; Brassicales; Caricaceae. The record is from RNAcentral.
CAGUGGUACAACCAUGCUCUGGCGAUGGCACCACUGCGCGACGGUAGUUUGCCUCGGCCUGGCCAUUGUUGGCUAGUUUUGGCCGGUUUCUUCCAAUUUUAUACCUAUCCCUGCGAGAAAACACGUUAGGGGGUGUCAGCUGGCCGAAAAAAAAUUGAAAAACAAAAACUUACGAGAGGAGGAAUUUUUCGGUGCGGCGACUCUGUCAGCUCACCUUCGCGCUAAGUGUUUUUCUUCGAUCAACCUGUAGAAAAUAGAACGGUGAACACAAUGGUGGAAAAAUUUCACGAAAUGGACAACGGAAAGGGGCUCAUCAGAGGCAAUUUUUUGUUUUUCUC